AUACGUAGGGGGCUAGCGUUAUCCGGAAUUACUGGGCGUAAAGGGUGCGUAGGUGGUUUCUUAAGUCAGAAGUGAAAGGCUACGGCUCAACCGUAGUAAGCUUUUGAAACUAAGAGACUUGAGUGCAGGAGAGGAGAGUAGAAUUCCUAGUGUAGCGGUGAAAUGCGUAGAUAUUAGGAGGAAUACCAGUUGCGAAGGCGGCUCUCUGGACUGUAACUGACACUGAGGCACGAAAGCGUGGGGAGCAAACAGGAUUAGAUACCCUGGUAGUCCACGCCGUAAACGAUGAGUACUAGCUGUCGGGGGUUACCCCCCUCGGUGGCGCAGCUAACGCAUUAAGUACUCCGCCUGGGAAGUACGCUCGCAAGAGUGAAACUCAAAUGAAUUGGCGGGG
RNAcentral lists this ribosomal RNA (394 nucleotides) under uncultured bacterium. RNAcentral describes it as "partial 16S ribosomal RNA". It matches the Rfam family "Bacterial small subunit ribosomal RNA", at positions 523 to 918 of the family's 1533-position model. The record is from RNAcentral.